UGGGGGGGGGACGUGGCGCAGCAGGCGCGAAAAUUUUACAAUGCGGGAAACCGCGAUAAGGGGACACCGAGUGCCAGCAUAUUAUGUUGGCUGUCCAUAUGUAUAAAUAACAUGUGUUAGCAAGGGCCGGGCAAGACCGGUGCCAGCCGCCGCGGUAACACCGGCGGCCCGAGUGGUAGCCACUAUUAUUGGGUCUAAAGGGUCCGUAGCCGGUUUGAUCAGUCUUCCGGGAAAUCUGACAGCUCAACUGUUAGGCUUCUGGGGGAUACUGUCAGACUUGGAACCGGGAGAGGUAAGAGGUACUACAGGGGUAGGAGUGAAAUCUUGUAAUCCCUGUGGGACCACCAGUGGCGAAGGCGUCUUACCAGAACGGGUUCGACGGUGAGGGACGAAAGCUGGGGGCACGAACCGGAUUAGAUACCCGGGUAGUCCCAGCCGUAAACGAUGCUCGCUAGGUGUCUGGGAUGGUGCGACCGUUUCAGGUGCCGCAGGGAAGCCGUGAAGCGAGCCACCUGGGAAGUACGGCCGCAAGGCUGAAACUUAAAGGAAUUGGCGGGGGAGCACUACAACGGGUGGAGCCUGCGGUUUAAUUGGACUCAACGCCGGAAAACUCACCUGGGGCGACAGCAAUAUGUAGGUCAGGCUGAAGGUCUUACCUGAAUCGCUGAGAGGAGGUGCAUGGCCGUCGUCAGUUCGUACUGUGAAGCAUCCUGUUAAGUCAGGCAACGAGCGAGACCCGUGCCCACUGUUGCCAGCAUAUCCUUCGGGAUGAUGGGUACUCUGUGGGGACCGCCGCUGCUAAAGCGGAGGAAGGUGCGGGCUACGGUAGGUCAGUAUGCCCCGAAUCUCCAGGGCUACACGCGGGCUACAAUGACCGGGACAAUGGGCUCCUACCCCGAAAGGGGUUGGUAAUCUCAUAAACCCGGCCUUAGUUCGGAUCGAGGGCUGCAACUCGCCCUCGUGAAGCUGGAAUCCGUAGUAAUCGCGUUUCAAUAUAGCGCGGUGAAUACGUCCCUGCUCCUUCACGAAUUCGCCGA
Molecule: ribosomal RNA, 1037 nt
Filed under: uncultured Methanolobus sp.
Lineage: Archaea; Methanobacteriati; Methanobacteriota; Methanomicrobia; Methanosarcinales; Methanosarcinaceae
Description: bacterial SSU rRNA
Rfam family: Archaeal small subunit ribosomal RNA
Source: RNAcentral